ACCUAUAGGAAACUCUAACAGGAUCUUCACCUUCUAGGACCUGACCCUAUAGGAACUGACCCCAUAAAGGGUCCUAUAGAAACCUAUGGGCAGCCCUAUAGGACUUUGACCUUCCAGGACCCGACGCUAUAGAAGCUGAUCUUAUAAGAUCUGAUCUUACAGGACCUGACCCCAUAAAAGGACCCAUGGGAACCUAUAGGAAACUCUAACAGGGUCUUCACCUUCUAGGACCUGAUCUUACAGGACCUGACCCCAUAAAGGGACCCAUAGGAACCUUGGUGGCCCUAUAGGAUCUCGACCUUCCAGGACCCGACGCUGUAGAAACUGAUCUUAUAGGAUCUGAUCUUACAGGACCUGACCCCAUAAAGGGACCCAUGGGAACCCAUAGGCGGCCCUAUAGGACCUUCACCUUCUAGGACCUGACCCCAUAGCACCUAAUCUUACAGGACCUGAUCUUAUAAGAUCUGAUCUUAUAGGAUCUAAUCUUACAGGACCCGACCCCACAGAGGAACCCAUGGGCGACCCUACAGGACCUCAACCUCCCAGACCUCGACCCUAUAGGACCCCAACCCUAUAGGAUCCCAACCCUACAGGACCCAACUCACAGAACCUCAACCUUCCAGGACCUAACCCUAUAAAACCCGACGCUAUAGGACUUGAUCCUACAAGAUCCAACCCUACAAGAGCCGACCCUAUAGCACCCUGACCCCACACAGGGACCUAUAGAAACCCGGGAGAGACCCUAUAGGACCCCGACCCCGUAAGACCCCGGCCCUAUAGGACCCUGACCCCGUAAGACCCCAAUCCUAUAGGGCCCUGACCCCAUAUAGGAACAGGAAUGGACAUCCAUGAGGUGAGACAGCAGGCUUCGUUCUAUGGGGUCAGCACCCAUGGGUGCCACUUCUCUAUAGGGUCAGCACCCCUCGGUGCCCUAAUUCUAUAGGGUCAGCAUCCUUGGGUGCUCCUGGAUAUGGGAUCAGCACCCCUGGGUGCUCCUUUCCUAUAGGCUCAGCACCCCUGGGUGCCCCUGGAUAUGGGAUCAGCACCCCUGGGUGCUCCUUUCCUAUAGGCUCAGCACCCCUGGGUGCCCCUGGAUAUGGGAUCAGCACCCCUGGGUGCCCUGAUUCUAUAGGGUCAGCACCCCUGGGUGCUCCUUUUCUAUAGGCUCAGCACCCCUGGGUGCCCCUGGAUAUGGGAUUAGCACCCCUGGGUGCUCCUG
Molecule: long non-coding RNA, 1219 nt
Filed under: Phasianus colchicus (ring-necked pheasant)
Lineage: Eukaryota; Metazoa; Chordata; Aves; Galliformes; Phasianidae
Description: lncRNA (ENSPCLG00000018945.1)
Source: RNAcentral